This 161-nucleotide unclassified non-coding RNA is filed under the name soil metagenome. RNAcentral describes it as "partial contains 5.8S ribosomal RNA, internal transcribed spacer 2, and large subunit ribosomal RNA". The record is from RNAcentral.
AACACUGUUAACCUGCGGUACCUGCGGAGGGAUCAUUACUGUGAUUUACUACUACACUGCGUGAGCGGAACGAAAACAACAACACCUAAAAUGUGGAAUAUAGCAUAUAGUCGACAAGAGAAAUCUACGAAGAAACAAACAAAACUUUUAACAACGGAUCU